This 250-nucleotide ribosomal RNA is filed under the name uncultured prokaryote. Its description in RNAcentral is "partial 16S ribosomal RNA". It matches the Rfam family "Bacterial small subunit ribosomal RNA", at positions 524 to 774 of the family's 1533-position model. The record is from RNAcentral.
UACAGAGGUCUCGAGCGUUAUCCGGAUUUAUUGGGCGUAAAGUGUGUGUAGGCGGUUUAUUAAGUCUAAGAUUAAAGCCUGAGGCAUAACCUCAGUUCGUUUUAGAAACUGGUAGACUUGAGUGUGGUAGAGGCAAGUGGAAUUUCUAGUGUAGCGGUUAAAUGCGUAGAUAUUAGAAGGGACACCAGUGGCGAAGGCGGCUUGCUGGGCCAUUACUGACGCUGAGACACGAAAGCGUGGGGAGCAAAUA